This 133-nucleotide microRNA precursor is filed under the name Physcomitrium patens. Its description in RNAcentral is "Physcomitrella patens miR902e stem-loop (ppt-MIR902e)". Its record names the gene ppt-MIR902e. Lineage: Eukaryota; Viridiplantae; Streptophyta; Bryopsida; Funariales; Funariaceae. The record is from miRBase by way of RNAcentral.
GACAGCGUGCCGUCUCAUUUCCUUCCGCUAGUCUAUGAUGCAGAUUCUUCAUCUGUUUCGUGUGAUGCUUGUGCACGAGUCAGACGAAGGUCUGCAUCAUAGUCAAGAGGAAGCAAAUAUGAAAUUCAGGAGC